Molecule: long non-coding RNA, 837 nt
Organism: Leopardus geoffroyi (Geoffroy's cat)
Lineage: Eukaryota; Metazoa; Chordata; Mammalia; Carnivora; Felidae
Exons: 4
Source: RefSeq, a predicted model, not a curated record
UGACUGUUGGGGGCCAUCUUGCUUUCCUAACAGAAAAGCCCAGCUGAGAAUGACACCAGCACAGAGGAAAGUAAGCAAGGCCACGAGGUCGGGAAAGAUGAUUGCUACUGAUGUCAUCAAGCACCCAGACCGUUGGCUACAUGAGAAUGGAGACCCCUGCUGGCUUGAGCCACCGCUGUGCCCUGGUGUCUGGAACCAGCCUGGCAUAAGAGGGCCUCAGUGAAUGUGCCCCGGAAACCACAAGUAAGGCGCCUGUCACAAUUGUCCCUCCUCCUGGGGUUUCUUCACGUGGCCCUGCACGGUGUGGCGUGCCCCUUUCUCCUGGGAACCGGGCUUUUCGGGGAGUGUGGUCUUACUGGAACACUCUCCUGUCGAUUGAGCAGGCUGCCACCCUCUAGCCCCGGCCACUCUGUGGGGAGGAGAGCGCCUGCCCUUUGGCUGCAAGGGCAGCCCUGGCCGGGAUGGUAAUGAGAUCCAGAAACUUGAUGUCCUGUCUUCACUCCUGUCCUUAGACAACGUUGUCUGCGUAGGGCACGGGACAGCCACCUAAGCCACGAAGCCUAAGACUCCCAAGUGAGGUUUCCUCGUCAGGGGUCUAAGGUGAUCCCCUCCACAACUCUGGACUAGCCACCUCUGGCCCAACAGCUCCACUGGGAGACGGCGGGAACCAGUACCUGAGUGAAUUAAAACCCAACUGGGGACCGUUCCCUAGGGGAGUUGCUUGUGAAGACUCUAUGGGUGGGACUGUCACUUGGACCAUGAUGGAUUUCCACCUGUGCCGCUUUCUGUCAAUGUCCUCUACUAACUACUACUGACAUUACAAAACUGGGCAAUUGA